RNAcentral lists this unclassified non-coding RNA (380 nucleotides) under Ficus madagascariensis. RNAcentral's name for it is "partial contains external transcribed spacer and 18S ribosomal RNA". The stretch from base 325 to 380 matches the Rfam family "Eukaryotic small subunit ribosomal RNA", at positions 1 to 56 of the family's 1831-position model. The record is from RNAcentral. Lineage: Eukaryota; Viridiplantae; Streptophyta; Magnoliopsida; Rosales; Moraceae.
GGUUCCUGUGUUGCCUUCCCAUCGUAUGGAAAGAUUCGUCGGACAGCCCCGCACCUGUCCUCCUUGUGGCUUUGCGGCUGCAAUGCGGACCUCGAAAGCAGUCCCCGUGUCCCGGACGUAUCCUCUGACCUUUGUCGUGGCUGUCUCGGUCCACAGGACAACUGCUCGUGCUCCCGGAUGUGGAAAAUUAAGCGGACGUGGGGGGGUCUCGGCCUCCGGUUGCUCCAAUCAAGUCCCUCGAUAAGAAUGACUCUCGCUACCCCGUUGACCGCAGGCCUUCCAGGCCCGUGGCAUCGAUGCGGGUCCGAAGUCGAUAAUGAAUGCUACCUGGUUGAUCCUGCCAGUAGUCAUAUGCUUGUCUCAAAGAUUAAGCCAUGCAU